This 292-nucleotide ribosomal RNA is filed under the name uncultured Cytophagaceae bacterium. RNAcentral describes it as "partial 16S ribosomal RNA". It matches the Rfam family "Bacterial small subunit ribosomal RNA", at positions 505 to 796 of the family's 1533-position model. Lineage: Bacteria; Pseudomonadati; Bacteroidota; Cytophagia; Cytophagales; Cytophagaceae. The record is from RNAcentral.
GUGCCAGCAGCCGCGGUAAUACGGAGGGUGCGAGCGUUGUCCGGAUUUAUUGGGUUUAAAGGGUGCGUAGGCUGGGAGGUAAGUCAGCGGUGAAAAGCACACGCUUAACGGGUGUCUUGCCGCAGAUACUACUUUUCUUGGAUGAGGAGGAGGUCACUGGAACGGAUGGUGUAGCGGUGAAAUGCAUAGAUAUCAUCCAGAACACCGAUUGCGAAGGCAGGUGACUGUACCUUAAUCGACGCUGAGGCACGAAAGCGUGGGGAGCGAACAGGAUUAGAUACCCUGGUAGUCC